GUUCUCUCCGAAAUAGCUUUAGGGCUAGCCUCAAGUGAUGAUUAUUGGAGGUAGAGCACUGUUUGGACGAGGGGCCCCUCUCGGGUUACCGAAUUCAGACAAACUCCGAAUGCCAAUUAAUUUAACUUGGGAGUCAGAACAUGGGUGAUAAGGUCCGUGUUCGAAAGGGAAACAGCCCAGACCACCAGCUAAGGUCCCAAAAUAUAUGUUAAGUGGAAAAGGAUGUGGCGUUGCCCAGACAACUAGGAUGUUGGCUUAGAAGCAGCCAUCAUUUAAAGAGUGCGUAAUAGCUCACUAGUCGAGUGACACUGCGCCGAAAAUGUACCGGGGCUAAACAUAUUACCGAAGCUGUGGAUUGUCCUUUGGACAAUGGUAGGAGAGCGUUCUAAGGGCGUUGAAGCAUGAUCGUAAGGACAUGUGGAGCGCUUAGAAGUGAGAAUGCCGGUGUGAGUAGCGAAAGACGGGUGAGAAUCCCGUCCACCGAUUGACUAAGGUUUCCAGAGGAAGGCUCGUCCGCUCUGGGUUAGUCGGGUCCUAAGCUGAGGCCGACAGGCGUAGGCGAUGGAUAACAGGUUGAUAUUCCUGUACCACCUAUAAUCGUUUUAAUCGAUGGGGGGACGCAGUAGGAUAGGCGAAGCGUGCGAUUGGAUUGCACGUCUAAGCAGUAAGGCUGAGUAUUAGGCAAAUCCGGUACUCGUUAAGGCUGAGCUGUGAUGGGGAGAAGACAUUGUGUCUUCGAGUCGUUGAUUUCACACUGCCGAGAAAAGCCUCUAGAUAGAAAAUAGGUGCCCGUACCGCAAACCGACACAGGUAGUCAAGAUGAGAAUUCUAAGGUGAGCGAGCGAACUCUCGUUAAGGAACUCGGCAAAAUGACCCCGUAACUUCGGGAGAAGGGGUGCUCUUUAGGGUUAACGCCCAGAAGAGCCGCAGUGAAUAGGCCCAAGCGACUGUUUAUCAAAAACACAGGUCUCUGCUAAACCGUAAGGUGAUGUAUAGGGGCUGACGCCUGCCCGGUGCUGGAAGGUUAAGAGGAGUGGUUAGCUUCUGCGAAGCUACGAAUCGAAGCCCCAGUAAACGGCGGCCGUAACUAUAACGGUCCUAAGGUAGCGAAAUUCCUUGUCGGGUAAGUUCCGACCCGCACGAAAGGCGUAACGAUUUGGGCACUGUCUCAACGAGAGACUCGGUGAAAUCAUAGUACCUGUGAAGAUGCAGGUUACCCGCGACAGGACGGAAAGACCCCGUGGAGCUUUACUGUAGCCUGAUAUUGAAAUUCGGCACAGCUUGUACAGGAUAGGUAGGAGCCUUUGAAACGUGAGCGCUAGCUUACGUGGAGGCGCUGGUGGGAUACUACCCUAGCUGUGUUGGCUUUCUAACCCGCACCACUUAUCGUGGUGGGAGACAGUGUCAGGCGGGCAGUUUGACUGGGGCGGUCGCCUCCUAAAAGGUAACGGAGGCGCUCAAAGGUUCCCUCAGAAUGGUUGGAAAUCAUUCAUAGAGUGUAAAGGCAUAAGGGAGCUUGACUGCGAGACCUACAAGUCGAGCAGGGUCGAAAGACGGACUUAGUGAUCCGGUGGUUCCGCAUGGAAGGGCCAUCGCUCAACGGAUAAAAGCUACCCCGGGGAUAACAGGCUUAUCUCCCCCAAGAGUUCACAUCGACGGGGAGGUUUGGCACCUCGAUGUCGGCUCAUCGCAUCCUGGGGCUGUAGUCGGUCCCAAGGGUUGGGCUGUUCGCCCAUUAAAGCGGUACGCGAGCUGGGUUCAGAACGUCGUGAGACAGUUCGGUCCCUAUCCGUCGUGGGCGUAGGAAAUUUGAGAGGAGCUGUCCUUAGUACGAGAGGACCGGGAUGGACAUACCUCUGGUGUACCAGUUGUCGUGCCAACGGCAUAGCUGGGUAGCUAUGUGUGGACGGGAUAAGUGCUGAAAGCAUCUAAGCAUGAAGCCCCCCUCAAGAUGAGAUUUCCCAACUUCGGUUAUAAGAUCCCUC
RNAcentral lists this ribosomal RNA (1985 nucleotides) under Staphylococcus aureus. RNAcentral describes it as "partial 23S ribosomal RNA". It matches the Rfam family "Bacterial large subunit ribosomal RNA", at positions 852 to 2839 of the family's 2925-position model. Lineage: Bacteria; Bacillati; Bacillota; Bacilli; Caryophanales; Staphylococcaceae. The record is from RNAcentral.